This 73-nucleotide transfer RNA is filed under the name Solirubrobacteraceae bacterium. Its description in RNAcentral is "tRNA-Asn". It matches the Rfam family "tRNA". Rfam says of the family: Transfer RNA (tRNA) molecules are approximately 80 nucleotides in length. Their secondary structure includes four short double-helical elements and three loops (D, anti-codon, and T loops). The record is from RNAcentral. RNAcentral also lists the same sequence under 3 other names. Lineage: Bacteria; Bacillati; Actinomycetota; Thermoleophilia; Solirubrobacterales; Solirubrobacteraceae.
UCCGGGGUAACUCAAUUGGCAGAGUACUCGGCUGUUAACCGAGGUGUUGUGGGUUCGAGUCCCACCCCCGGAG